AGUGAACGCUGGCGGUAGGCCUAACACAUGCAAGUCGAACGGCAGCACAGGAGAGCUUGCUCUCUGGGUGGCGAGUGGCGGACGGGUGAGGAAUACAUCGGAAUCUACUCUGUCGUGGGGGAUAACGUAGGGAAACUUACGCUAAUACCGCAUACGACCUACGGGUGAAAGCAGGGGAUCUUCGGACCUUGCGCGAUUGAAUGAGCCGAGUUCGGAUUAGCUAGUUGGCGGGGUAAAGGCCCACCAAGGCGACGAUCCGUAGCUGGUCUGAGAGGAGGCUCAGCCACACUGGAACGGAGACACGGUCCAGACUCCUACGGGAGGCAGCAGUGGGGAAUAUUGGACAAUGGGCGCAAGCCUGAUCCAGCCAUACCGCGUGGGUGAAGAAGGCCUUCGGGUUGUAAAGCCCUUUUGUUGGGAAAGAAAUCCAGCUGGCUAAUACCCGGUUGGGAUGACGGUACCCAAAGAAUAAGCACCGGCUAACUUCGUGCCAGCAGCCGCCGUAA
Molecule: ribosomal RNA, 506 nt
Filed under: uncultured bacterium
Lineage: Bacteria
Description: partial 16S ribosomal RNA
Rfam family: Bacterial small subunit ribosomal RNA
Source: RNAcentral